This 70-nucleotide small nucleolar RNA is filed under the name Mesocricetus auratus (golden hamster). Its description in RNAcentral is "Small nucleolar RNA SNORD115". It matches the Rfam family "Small nucleolar RNA SNORD115". Rfam says of the family: HBII-52 is a member of the C/D class of snoRNAs, which contain the C (UGAUGA) and D (CUGA) box motifs. HBII-52 is encoded in a tandemly repeated array with another C/D snoRNA, HBII-85, in the Prader-Willi syndrome (PWS) region of chromosome 15. The record is from Rfam by way of RNAcentral. Lineage: Eukaryota; Metazoa; Chordata; Mammalia; Rodentia; Cricetidae.
AGGUCUAUGAUGACAAACCAAUGUCAGGCAGAGAGGUGAUGACAUAAAAAUCAUGAUUACACUGAGGCCC